Molecule: ribosomal RNA, 465 nt
Filed under: Vreelandella stevensii
Lineage: Bacteria; Pseudomonadati; Pseudomonadota; Gammaproteobacteria; Oceanospirillales; Halomonadaceae
Description: partial 16S ribosomal RNA
Rfam family: Bacterial small subunit ribosomal RNA
Source: RNAcentral
CCUACGGGGGGCAGCAGUGGGGAAUAUUGGACAAUGGGGGCAACCCUGAUCCAGCCAUGCCGCGUGUGUGAAGAAGGCCCUCGGGUUGUAAAGCACUUUCAGUGAGGAAGAACGCCUGGUGGUUAAUACCCAUCAGGAAAGACAUCACUCACAGAAGAAGCACCGGCUAACUCCGUGCCAGCAGCCGCGGUAAUACGGAGGGUGCGAGCGUUAAUCGGAAUUACUGGGCGUAAAGCGCGCGUAGGUGGCUUGAUAAGCCGGUUGUGAAAGCCCCGGGCUCAACCUGGGAACGGCAUCCGGAACUGUCAAGCUAGAGUGCAGGAGAGGAAGGUAGAAUUCCCGGUGUAGCGGUGAAAUGCGUAGAGAUCGGGAGGAAUACCAGUGGCGAAGGCGGCCUUCUGGACUGACACUGACACUGAGGUGCGAAAGCGUGGGUAGCGAACAGGAUUAGAUACCCUUGUAGUC